GAUGAACGCUGGCGGCGUGCCUAAUACAUGCAAGUCGAGCGAACGGACGAGAAGCUUGCUUUUCUGAUGUUAGCGGCGGACGGGUGAGUAACACGUGGAUAACCUACCUAUAAGACUGGGAUAACUUCGGGAAACCGGAGCUAACACCGGAUAAUAUUUUGCACCGCAUGGUUCAAAAGUGAAAGACGGUCUUGCUGUCACUUAUAGAUGGAUCCGCGCUGCAUUAGCUAGUUGGUAAGGUAACGGCUUACCAAGGCAACGAUGCAUAGCCGACCUGAGGGGGUGAUCGGCCGCACUGGAACUGAAACACGGUCCAGACUCCUACGGGAGGCAGCAGUAGGGAAUCUUCCGCAAUGGGCGAAAGCCUGGCGGAGCGACGCCGCGUGAGUGAUGGAGGUCUUCGGAUCGUAAAACUCUGUUAUUAGGGAAGAACAUAUGUGUAAGUAACUGUACACAUCUUGACGGUACCUAGUCAGAAAGCCACGGCUAACUACGUG
Molecule: ribosomal RNA, 497 nt
Filed under: uncultured bacterium
Lineage: Bacteria
Description: partial 16S ribosomal RNA
Rfam family: Bacterial small subunit ribosomal RNA
Source: RNAcentral